Oryza rufipogon (brownbeard rice) is the source of this 206-nucleotide microRNA precursor. It matches the Rfam family "MIR812 microRNA precursor family". The record is from Rfam. NCBI's taxonomy places the organism in Eukaryota, Viridiplantae, Streptophyta, Magnoliopsida, Poales, Poaceae.
AAUAAAUGUAGUUUAGUACUAUUCACGUUCAACGUUUCACCGUUCGUCUUGUUUGAAAUUUUUUAUGAUUAGUAUUUUUAUUGCUAUUAGAUGAUAAAACAUGAAUAAUACUUUAUGUGUGACUAAAUAUUUUCAAAUUUUUCAUAAAAUUUUCAAAUAAGACGGACGGUCAAACGUGGACAUGGAUAUCUACGGCUGUACUUAUU